GGAACCUGGUUGAUCCUGCCAGUAGUCAUAUGCUUGUCUCAAAGAUUAAGCCAUGCAUGUCUAAGUAUAAAUAACUUAUACUGUGAAACUGCGUAUGGCUCAUUAAAUCAGUUAUAGUUUAUCUGAUGAUACUUCACUACAUGGAUAACCGUAGUAAUUCUAGAGCUAAUACAUGCGUAAAGUCCCGACACUCG
RNAcentral lists this ribosomal RNA (194 nucleotides) under uncultured eukaryote. RNAcentral describes it as "partial 18S ribosomal RNA". It matches the Rfam family "Eukaryotic small subunit ribosomal RNA", at positions 1 to 192 of the family's 1831-position model. The record is from RNAcentral.